This is a long non-coding RNA of Capra hircus (goat), 617 nucleotides long. RefSeq annotates it as syncollin. The transcript is spliced from 2 exons. NCBI's taxonomy places the organism in Eukaryota, Metazoa, Chordata, Mammalia, Artiodactyla, Bovidae. The record is from RefSeq and is a predicted model, not a curated record.
UUCCCACGGGUCGGGCGCAUAAAAGGGAGCGGGGGCUCGGCCUCGCAGCGUCACCAUGUCCCCGCUGUGCCCACUGCUGCUGACCCUGGCCCUGUUGGCCGUCCCCGGCGUCCGAGGCGCCUGCCCGGCGGCCGCCGACCUGACGAACGCCGACGGGACGCGCACGUGCGCCAAGCUCUACGACAAGAGCGACCCCUACUACGAGAACUGCUGCGCCGGCGCCGUGCUCUCCUUGGAGUCGGGCGCCGACCUGCCCUACCUGCCCUCGGACUGGACGAAAGUCAUCUCCUCGAUCGUGGUGGGCCAACGCUGCGAGCUCACCGUGUGGUCCGGUCGCGGCAAGGAGGGCAAGUCGCGCAAGUUCUCGGCCGGUAGCUACCCGCGCCUGGAGGAGUACCGCCGCGGCCUCUUCGGGGACUGGUCCAACGCCAUCUCCUCCGUCUACUGCAGUUGCAAAUGAUACCUUACGAGAUCGCUCAUCUCCAGCCCUCACAAAGUGCUGAGCCCCUCACCUGGCCUUGUCCAUGGGGUCUGCUGAAGUCUGUAAGACCCAGGAGAACAGAGCUUUCUGCCUGCCCUCAUAUUGCCUUCCCUGUAAUACAGCCUUUAUGAAGCCA